GGAGGCAGCUGCGCAGGAGAGGCCGCCCUUCUGGAGUGGGGUCUCCUAGACCACACAGUCAAGUACACAACCUUGGCCCCGCCCCUGCAAGCCCCCGCCCAUUCCCUGGCCACACCCACACGGUGCCCAGCCUUGGUCUCCAGUGAUGAGCUGGGAAGUCUCUUCUCUAGCACUGGGUUCGUGGCAGUGGUGGGUGGCGAGCAGGCUGGGGAAGGGUCUUUGGAGAAGAGGCUCUGGAGUUGAGCUCACCUCUCUCUCCGGCUCCCGCUCCCAGCCCCUCUGGGCCGGGAGAACGAUGAAGAUGGAGAACUAGGACAGAACUGUCCCUGGAACAGAGGCAACGACUGGCCAAAGGUCACCAGAGACACUUCCCCAGCCCAAUGUCACAGUCAACAACUCAGCCCCAGGAGCAUGUGGAAUCCAUCAGCCUGCACAGCUUGAACCCAAAGAGCUCUGUGGCCAUCCAGUGGUACAUCCGGGGCCAGAAGCUCUUCACUGGGGGCCACAGGGAGCUGUCCUCUGACCACAGGAUACUGUAUGGAACAUCACCAGGAAUGACUCGGGCUUCUACCAGUGUGAGAGCUGCAACUCAGCUACCAGCAGCAUCAGCAACCCUAUUCUCAUCAAAGUCAUUUUUUCUCCAGGCCAGAGAUGCUCCAUCCCACUGUGAGACAUGUUACCGACUUCUCGGGAGCAGAUGAUCCAUCUGAGCACUUGGGAAAGGCCUGCAAACCCUAUGUGCAGGACAUGAAACCCUAGCUCUGGCAGCAAUGUACGCCUCCACUGGGUGGGAGACUAGGUCACGGAUCUCUUUUCGGCACCCAA
RNAcentral lists this long non-coding RNA (825 nucleotides) under Bos indicus x Bos taurus (hybrid cattle). Its description in RNAcentral is "lncRNA (ENSBIXG00005020839.1)". Lineage: Eukaryota; Metazoa; Chordata; Mammalia; Artiodactyla; Bovidae. The record is from RNAcentral.